RNAcentral lists this ribosomal RNA (262 nucleotides) under Isthmohyla pseudopuma (Gunter's Costa Rican treefrog). RNAcentral describes it as "partial 16S ribosomal RNA". It matches the Rfam family "Bacterial large subunit ribosomal RNA", at positions 2510 to 2835 of the family's 2925-position model. Lineage: Eukaryota; Metazoa; Chordata; Amphibia; Anura; Hylidae. The record is from RNAcentral.
CAGCGGGUUUACGACCUCGAUGUUGGAUCAGGGUAUCCCAGUGGUGCAGCCGCUACUAAAGGUUCGUUUGUUCAACGAUUAAAACCCUACGUGAUCUGAGUUCAGACCGGAGAUAAUCCAGGUCAGUUUCUAUCUAUAAAGAGCUCUUUCUAGUACGAAAGGACCGAAAAAGCAUGGCCCAUGUGUCUCACAAGCCAUAAAUGAUAAUUUUUGAUUUAAACUUAAUUAAUAUUCAAUCUUUAAUAUAGCUCAAGAAAAGAGC